AGCAGCCGCGGUAAUUCCAGCUCCAAUAGCGUAUAUUAAAGUUGUUGCAGUUAAAAAGCUCGUAGUUGAAUUUCGGGAUCAAUACGUCGGUCGUGCUUCGGUACGUACUGGCGUAAUUGAUUUCUCCCUUCUGACGAACCAUGAUGUCAUUAACUUGGUGUCAUGGGAAAUCAGGACUGUUACUUUGAAAAAAUUAGAGUGUUUAAAGCAGGCUCACGCUUGAAUACAUUAGCAUGGAAUAAUGAAAUAGGACGUUCGAUCCUAUUUUGUUGGUUUUUAGGAUCAACGUAAUGAUUAAUAGGGAUAGUUGGGGGCAUUAGUAUUCAAUUGUCAGAGGUGAAAUUCUUGGAUUUAUUGAAGACUAACUACUGCGAAAGCAUUUGCCAAGGAUGUUUUCAUUAAUCAAGAACGAAAGUUAGGGGAUCGAAGACGAUCAGAUACCGUCGUAGUCUUAACCAUAAACUAUGCCGACUAGGGAUCGGAUGAUGUUAAUUUUUAAUGACUCAUU
RNAcentral lists this ribosomal RNA (508 nucleotides) under uncultured Glomus. RNAcentral describes it as "SSU rRNA". It matches the Rfam family "Eukaryotic small subunit ribosomal RNA", at positions 569 to 1080 of the family's 1831-position model. The record is from RNAcentral. Lineage: Eukaryota; Fungi; Glomeromycota; Glomeromycetes; Glomerales; Glomeraceae.